UUUCUUUGAAGAUAUGUCACCUUCAACUACCGCAGGCUCAAUCCAACGAGAAGUUCCACAUUCAUGGCAACAUGUUUCAUUCUCGUGCUCUUUCCAAUAUAGCAUGCAGUCAUUUGGGCAUGCAUCAAUCUUUUUAUAAUCAAGACCUAAAUCUCUCACCAUAGCCUUGGCUUUGUUGAAAGAAGAAGGGAGAUUCAAGUUAAGAAUAGCCUCUUUCAACAACUCCAGGAGGGAAGUGAACGAGGCAUUGCUCCAUCCAUGUAGACACUUCAACAAGUAUAGUCAGAUGGUGAAAGAUAACGUAGAAAAUCCCUUGGCAUUAGAAAGGAAGGAAACAGAACUUGAACAAUGGAAGAAUGGGAAUAACUCUAGAAAUGCCAUUGAAUCACAGAAAGGAAGAGCUAUUUCACCUUAUCGCUUGCCCAAAUAUGGAAACAGUAGUGCCACCAUGAAAUCAGAGACUUGUCAGAGACCAACACCAACAGAUGAUAAAACUUUUGAGGGGAGGAGUUGCUCAUUGGGUAAGCAAAGAAGGUCAAGGUUCCCUUCAGCAUUGGAUUCACCAAUGGCAAAAAUGAAAAAUAUUAAUCAAAAUAUAUUAUGUAGUAGUUUUAGAUUUUGUAAGACACUGUUGAUAUUACUGCACUUAUUUAAGCUUUUUUUAAGAAAAAAAAGUAAUAAAUUAAAUUUCUAAUUAAAUUACUAUUAAAAGGAAACAAAGCAUGUGAUGAUGCAAGUAUUGGUCUUAGCAGUUCCAAGAAUGGAUACAACUAACCAUCCUCACUAAUUAAAAUAGUUAUGUUCUUAGUUACUUCUUUCACAUUAUGUACCACCACCGCCCCUUCAUCCUUAUUACAAGAGGUUAGUGUGAUAUACCCAAGUAAUAGCUUCUUUUUCUCA
This is a non-coding RNA of Arachis ipaensis, 900 nucleotides long. The record is from RefSeq and is a predicted model, not a curated record. Lineage: Eukaryota; Viridiplantae; Streptophyta; Magnoliopsida; Fabales; Fabaceae.